CAGUCACAGUGAGCACUCCAUUUUCCAUGGCAGCUUUAAUUUGAUCCAUUUUUGCAUUCUCAGGCAACCUGAACCUCCUUAAAAAUUUCCCACUGCUCCUCUCAAUGCGGUGCCACUUAUCAUUCUUCUCCUCCUGCUCUUUGUUCCUCUCUCCGCUGAUUUGGAGGAUUCUGCCUUCUUCUACCUCCACUUUCACUUCCUCUUUCUUUAGCCCUGGAACAUCUGCUUUGAAAAUGUGGGCUUCUGGGGUCUCUUUCCAAUCGAUUCUUGCAUUGACGAAAGCUGAAGUUUCCCUUGCUGAGGAUGGCGCAUUGGCAAGUGUAGAGGUGAAGAAGCCAUCUGAAGGAUCCCAAAUGUCCAGAGAAAAUGGAUCAAUCACAUUGGUCCUGCGGCUGCCAAAGAAGCUGGGAAUGAGGGACGAUGCCAUUUUUUUUCGAAGGUAACCCUGGAAAGAAAAUUGAAAUCUUCAAAGAGAUGAUCAGCUAAUCAGAGAGCUUCACUUUCCUUUG
Molecule: unclassified non-coding RNA, 509 nt
Filed under: Hevea brasiliensis (rubber tree)
Lineage: Eukaryota; Viridiplantae; Streptophyta; Magnoliopsida; Malpighiales; Euphorbiaceae
Source: RNAcentral